Molecule: long non-coding RNA, 264 nt
Filed under: Cavia porcellus (domestic guinea pig)
Lineage: Eukaryota; Metazoa; Chordata; Mammalia; Rodentia; Caviidae
Description: lncRNA (ENSCPOG00000032711.1)
Source: RNAcentral
AUGAAAGCUCACCAGAAAGACUACUAUCUCCCACCAAUCCAGUUCUCAAGGUCCAGAGGCCGAGGGACGUCCAGGACAGGGGCCGGAGCAGACUCCACGGGCACUGCAGAGGUGCGGCUUCUGGAGGAGCCAUCUUCCUCCUCCCCUCACAGUGGGCUCCUCAGCUUCCACGACGCCAUCGCCAUGGCUCUGCAGGCUGGCCUUCUGGAUAAAGCUACAGGUGCAAAACAAACCAUUUUUUAUACAGAAGAAAUACAAGACUGA